AAAAACCGCAACGCCUCAAGCUGACGAUGUUUCACGCACAAGUGCAGCACAGUCUGCCCGCGAUGCAGCCUCUCCAUCGCAGGGUUCAUGACUUGAUCGUCGAGCCACCACCGCAUCUCUGAGGCCGCAGAUAGCAAUUUUCGGGCAAUCUCAACGUGCCCUUGUGCAGCUGCGAUGUGAAGAGACGAAGACUUUUUGUAAUCAACAUCUCGAGCUAGCUCUGUGUUUAUCCUCAACAGCUCUUCCACUAUGCCCACUUGUCCAUGCAUUGUUGCUAUGUGUAGGAGAUUUCUUGAACGUGAAAAUGAAACUUGAUCGACAAGAAAUGGAUCUUGUUGUAGAAGUGUUUGGAAAGUUGAUAAAUCUCCCUUUGUUGCUGCAUCAUAUACUAGUUUCUUUUCUUCUACUUCCGCAACCA
Salvia hispanica is the source of this 418-nucleotide non-coding RNA. NCBI's taxonomy places the organism in Eukaryota, Viridiplantae, Streptophyta, Magnoliopsida, Lamiales, Lamiaceae. The record is from RefSeq and is a predicted model, not a curated record.